Molecule: ribosomal RNA, 253 nt
Filed under: uncultured bacterium
Lineage: Bacteria
Description: partial 16S ribosomal RNA
Rfam family: Bacterial small subunit ribosomal RNA
Source: RNAcentral
UACGAAGGGGGCUAGCGUUGCUCGGAAUCACUGGGCGUAAAGGGUGCGUAGGCGGGUCUUUAAGUCAGGGGUGAAAUCCUGGAGCUCAACUCCAGAACUGCCUUCGAAACUGGGAAUCUUGAGUCCGGGAGAGGUGAGUGGAACUGCGAGUGUAGAGGUGAAAUUCGUAGAUAUUCGCAAGAACACCAGUGGCGAAGGCGGCUCACUGGCCCGGUACUGACGCUGAGGUGCGAAAGCGUGGGGAGCAAACAGG